Molecule: ribosomal RNA, 274 nt
Filed under: uncultured bacterium
Lineage: Bacteria
Description: partial 16S ribosomal RNA
Rfam family: Bacterial small subunit ribosomal RNA
Source: RNAcentral
AUACGUAGGAUCCGAGCGUUGUCCGGAUUUACUGGGCGUAAAGGGUGCGUAGGCGGCGUGGUAAGUCUCAUGUGAAAUCUCCCGGCUCAACUGGGAGGGGUCAUGGGAUACUGCCAUGCUCGAGGGCAGCAGAGGAGAGCGGAAUUCCGGGAGUAGCGGUGAUAUGCGUAGAUACCCGGAGGAACACCCGUGGCGAAAGCGGCUCUCUGGGCUGUACCUGACGCUAAGGCACGAAAGCGUGGGGAGCAAACCGGAUUAGAAACCCGGGUAGUCC